AUUGAACGCUGGCGGCAGGCCUAACACAUGCAAGUCGAACGAGUGGCGGACGGGUGAGUAAUGUCUGGGAAACUGCCUGAUGGAGGGGGAUAACUACUGGAAACGGUAGCUAAUACCGCAUACCAUCGGAGGCGCCCAGAUGGGAUUAGCUAGUUGGUGGGGUAAAGGCGCACCAAGGCCACGAUCCGUAGCUGGUCUGAGAGGAUUACCAGCCAGACUGGGACUGAGACACGGUCCAGACUCCUACGGGAGGCAGCAGUGGGGAAUAUUGCACAAUGGGCGCAAGCCUGAUCCAGCCAUGCCGCGUGUAUGAAGAAGGCCUUCGGGUUGUAAAGUACUUUCAGCGGGGAGGCGUUACCCGCAGAAGAAGCACCGGCUAACUACGUGCCAGCAGCCGCGGUAAUAC
RNAcentral lists this ribosomal RNA (406 nucleotides) under uncultured bacterium. RNAcentral describes it as "partial 16S ribosomal RNA". It matches the Rfam family "Bacterial small subunit ribosomal RNA", at positions 30 to 526 of the family's 1533-position model. The record is from RNAcentral.